Long non-coding RNA from Drosophila busckii, 663 nucleotides. RefSeq lists it as uncharacterized. The record is from RefSeq and is a predicted model, not a curated record. The transcript is spliced from 4 exons. Lineage: Eukaryota; Metazoa; Arthropoda; Insecta; Diptera; Drosophilidae.
AAAGCAAAGAAAAAUGAAAUUUACAUUUACAACAAGCAAUUAAACAAGUUUCAUAUAUUAAUAUUAAUUUUUACACGGCCAGACACACACUCAGCCCAGUGAAUUGUUAAAGUUAAACAAAUCAACAACAAUGACAACAAAUUGUUAAACACUGAACAAAAGUUGAAUAAUAUAAAUCUAUUAACUAUGAGAGCAAAUAGACAACACUCAACCAAAAAAAAAAAAAAGAAAUACGCUCAAUGCAUAUCAAGAAAGGUUAAGGUGAUUAUGUACUACACUUGACAAUGAAUAAUAUAUAUAAUAUAUUGAAUAAUAUAAAUCAAGCAAAAAAAGAAACACGCUCAAUGCAUAUCAAGAUAGGUUAAGGUGAUUAUGGUUAAGGUGAUUAUCUACUACACGCGUUUGUUAACCUGUCCAGAGGCGGUACCACGCCCCAUAUGGGGACGUUGCAGCUUGGCGCCCAUAAUCAAUUAUCAAUUAUCAACAUUGUUAACAUUGUUUAAUAUUUAAGAAUGUUGCGUUUACAAAAAUGAGAGCAUACGAAUUGUUGUAACACACACAAAGUUACUUUUGAACGGUACCAGAACCUGCAAGUUCAAGUUCAAGUGCUUGGCGUUCGCCUAUUAGUUGAUUGGAAAAUAAAUUAUUAAUAAGAUUUUGAAA